Molecule: long non-coding RNA, 1549 nt
Organism: Macaca mulatta (Rhesus monkey)
Lineage: Eukaryota; Metazoa; Chordata; Mammalia; Primates; Cercopithecidae
Source: Ensembl
AUGGCAUGGAGGGCAGCCACGCCUGGUAAGGAGACUGCCAGCAGUGGGCAGACACAGGGAACCCCAUCCCCGCCCACCUUGCACAGCUGGGAAGCUAUACAGGUGUGCCCCUCCCUGGCAAUGUCACCCUUCAAUGUUGCAGCCACCUCUGAGCAUGCGCACAACAAUGCCCUCCAGACGCACGGCCAGUGCUUUGGUGCAGGUGAGACCGCUGGCCCCACAGGGCAGGUUCUGGGCAGAGACUGUAAACAGGCCACUGGCCUCUCGCACCAGCAGAUACUCGCAGGCCCCAGGAAAGCUCCUUCUUGGACUCACCAGCAGCACCAUGCCGGGUGGACAGACACAGCCAUCAGCACUGCCUGCAGGGCAGGAGUGAUUGGCAGUAGGGCUGUCACAGGUGAGGAGACAGGCACCAGGGGCAUAGACAAGCUCUCUGGGGCAGAAUGCCUGCUGUGGAGGGCAGCGGUGAGCUGUGCAAUUCCAGAGGCCCCUUUCCUGGCAGACACUGCAGGAGGUUGAGAAGGAGUAAGAGGCAAGUCUAAGCCUCCAGGGACCUGAUCUGACCUGGUGAGAAUCUCAGGAACCCAGACGCUUGCUGGGUUCCCAGGUGUCCAGAUCCCAUCAUGUUGAGUGAAAACCAGCCCUGAUGCUGGAGACCUGUCCAUCUCAGCUUCCAAUACCCAGUCACCAACACAGGGAGCUGGACUGUUUCCAGCACCCUGACAUGCCUGGGAUAGACAUUGUCACCCUUUCUGUCCCAGCUCCAAUAGGGCCAUCCUCCAGGCUCUGGAGCAGGACAGAGGUAUUGAACCACCCUACUCCUAGCCCAGGUAGGAGAGGGGUUGCAUUGAAGCCUGCAUCCUCAGCCCCCACCUUCAUCAACCCUGGAUCCUGGUCCUGCCUGCACAGAUCCAUAAUCUGCCUUCACUUCUCUUGAACAAGCUGUGUGACUCUGCAAGCUGUUUAGUCUGUCUGAGCCUCAGUUUCCUCAUCUGCAAAAUGGGAACAAUUUUUCCACUUCUUACUUUAUUAGUUUAUGGUAGGAAGUAAAACUAGAUAAAAUGAUGCACAGGAAAGUGCUUUAUGGACCCUAAAGUGCCCCACGACCAAGGGGAAGUGAUCAGCACUCUGUCACCUCCAGCGUGCAUGCUGCCACCAGCAAGGCUGCACACUCCACCCGUUAUCUCCCAAGCUAGCUCUUCAUCCCCACAUUCUUCCUCUUGCCCCAAAGGUCGCUGCCCUCACCAGCGGUUGCACUCCUUCAUAGUGGCACUACCAGGGGCAUAGCGACGGGCUCCGAGCUGGCAGGGGCACGAGCUGGGGGGCACACACUGGCCCUCAGGGUCCCACAGCAGCCCCAGAGGACAGUUACAACUGGCCACACAGCUGCCCAGCUCCCCACAGUCCUCUGGCUCCCCGCAGUGUUGACCGCAUGCUGGGGCACACUCUCGGUACUCCUGGCCACCAGGACACAGAACAGCUGGGCACAGGGACACACACAGGUCAGGGGCAUAGCCACCGCUGGCUCUCUCCACCCCCUCUGAACCCC